Molecule: long non-coding RNA, 391 nt
Organism: Nycticebus coucang (slow loris)
Lineage: Eukaryota; Metazoa; Chordata; Mammalia; Primates; Lorisidae
Exons: 4
Source: RefSeq, a predicted model, not a curated record
AUGCUCAGGGUCCCAUACAAUUUAUUUCACUAAUUUUCUUUUUCUUUUUUUUUUUUUUUUUUUAGGAUUAAUGGUUCCCUCUUGUAGUCUCAUUCAAACAUGAAGCCUAAGUGGGUUAUGCUGCUUCUAACAAAACAUUUGUGCAUACUCAUAUCCUCUCUUACACCACCUUAUACAGAAUUUUGCUAUUCUAACUAAGUUAUAUCAAUGAAGUAAAAAAUCAAAAUGCAGUUCCUUGCUCUCAGCGUCAAAAAACAGGAUCUUCCUUAUCUCCAGGUCUCUCCAUGGAGAUAGUACCGCGUCAGUUGAGAAGGCAGUACUGUUGAUGAUGGCUAUCACCCCUACGUGCAGGUAUCACGGGAAAGACAAAUGUGGUCAUCAUGGGUUUUUC